RNAcentral lists this ribosomal RNA (1737 nucleotides) under Triticum aestivum (bread wheat). RNAcentral's name for it is "partial small subunit ribosomal RNA". The record is from RNAcentral. Lineage: Eukaryota; Viridiplantae; Streptophyta; Magnoliopsida; Poales; Poaceae.
AUGGAAACCACGGGCCAUUACCUCGCCCCAGGACCGCCUAACCCCGCCACCUCCACGCACGUCCUCACCCCUCCCCGAUCCGACGGUCGCACCGCCGUGGCCGUCCCAACUCCCUUCCCUGCCGGCCUGACGGCGGCCAUACAAUCCGGCAUCUGCGCGCGCGACUUGGAUCUCAGGCCCGGCCCUGCCGUCUCGGCAAAAAUGCAAGAAUUAGGAGAUGUGUACUGCUCGGUUGAGAAGUGGUGCGAAUUGUCAUAUGAUGAUGAUUUUGUGAGAAGGGCCGUACUGGUUCUUAUGGAUACAGUCUUAGCACCACAAUCCACCAAGUUUGUUCCUUAUCGUUAUUACAAAAUGGUGGAGGACGUGAACGCUAUCAAGUCAUACAAUUGGAACGAUUUCACGUUGGGGGUGUGCAUGGAUGCUAUUAAAAAAUCGGUCGAAGAUAUUGAAAAUUUCAAGUGGCCUAUCAGGAACUUGGCUCUUCUUCAGUAUAUAUACUGGGAAAAAGUUGAGCCAAUUGGUGUGGAUACAUUUGAUCCUUUGUCUCGUGACUAUCCACUAAUGCUUAACUGGCCAGAAAUGAAAGGGAAAAAGCGAGACGACUAUGACAACAUGCACGGGCGUGGCACCGGCAAUAUUGAAAACUGCGUUAGUGAAGAGUACAGACGUGCUAAGGUAGCACGUGAAGGGACUCUCCCAGAGGAAGAAACGAAGAAACCUAAACGGAAAGGUGGUGGUAGGAGUAGAAAGCCAAGCACGUCCACGGUUUCAUCGAACACAACUUAUAGUAUGGACCGUGUGAUGACAUACAUAAAGCUGCUUCACAAGGAGGUUCUUAAUAUACCCGAAAGAUGUGCACAGAUGGUAAUGGAAAGGUUGAACACGAAAGAUAUUGAUUCACCUACCGACGUAAAGGUAGGAACAUCUUUCACGGGUAUCAAUGAUACCUCCGUGCCCGUUGAUGACACGGGUGCUCCGGCGAUGACACCGGGUAAAGGUGAAGCUACUGAUCCUUUCAUUAUAGACGAUAAUGGAAACUCUCCAUCUUCGGCAUCAACUGUACGUACAAAAGACUUUCCGUCUAUGUCCCGAACCCCGCAGAAUGCUGAUAUUUCUGGUGAGUCUAUGGAUGCUUUGUCACCAACAAAGUCCGAACACACGUUUGAGAGUUUCCCGGCAGAGAGCAACAUAGGUAAUGGUGAAGGCAGUCAGGAAAAUGAUGAUCUGUUUGCAUCGUCACCACAUUCAAUUCUAGCAAGUUCUCUUAAUAUGACUCCGGAUCACAUAGAGGCAGCCAGAGUUUUUGUUGAGACUCUCGCAUCGACAAAGAAGCAUGCACACCGAACCGUGGUCGAUAUGCCACCACCAGAUGGGGACAUAUGCACGCCAACUAUGCUUCACGAUGUCCUGACAUUUAAAUGGUUGAAUGGCACUAUCAUCAAUGCAUAUUGUAAACACCUACAACACCGUGAUUUUUCUGAUUGUUAUAUAUCAGCAACGUGGUUCCCCAAAUUUAUGUUGAGUAGGGCAAGGGGAAAGACCAAGUCAGUAAAUGAUUUAGACUCAGAACAUGUUACAAAGAAAACAAAAGUCCUCGCAAGAGUAAUGGAUGAGUAUUUCAGACGGGACAAGGCGUAUUUUCCUAUGCACGUUAAUAAUAAUCAUUGGAUAACCAUAGUGAUGCACACCGUCAAGGAGGAGUUUCAAGUUCUUGACUCAAAUUCUAAAGAGAGCUAA